This 1076-nucleotide long non-coding RNA is filed under the name Olea europaea (common olive). RNAcentral's name for it is "long non-coding RNA (OEUR_LNC015663)". Lineage: Eukaryota; Viridiplantae; Streptophyta; Magnoliopsida; Lamiales; Oleaceae. The record is from RNAcentral.
GCUCAGCUAACAAGUUGUCCUUCAGCAGGCCUUGGUGGUGAGUUUGGGGUACCAUUUUCAGUCUUCUUGAGAUUUUGAUGAUAAUAUAUUUGCCUCAGUCUCUCUAUUUCCUUCUUCAAAGCUUCUUGAUGAGCUGGUUUCACACAAGUAAACUUCCAAUAAUCACUUGCACUUGCAUUAGAAUGGAACAAAAACUUGGAUUUACAAUUUUCUUUUGACAAUUUGUUUAAUUCUCGAUACUUAAAUAAAUCAGUUCAUUCUGGCAAUAAUGGUAGAUAGGACUUUUGCAGUUCAAUUUACAAGACUUGAACUAGUUUUUCUUAAUCUUAUCGAAUACUAACCAGUACAGCAUAAAUUCUUACCAUCUUUGAAGAGUUUAUCUUGAGCCAAAGCUGCUAAUCUUUGCUUGAGAACACUGUUAUCCACAUUUAGCACCAGGCGUUGGUGGUCCAGAAAAGCAACCCUUGGGGAUAAUACUGAAACUUCAGCCUUUACAUCAAGCCAAUGAUGUAAGUUCAAUUAAUUAUGAAAGCUUAAUUAAAAAAAAUUAAUUAAGAAGAAAAAUUAUAAUUUUUUCUGAAAAAAUCAGGUAGCACGUUCAAUUAACUUACUUGAAGUGAAUUUACGCUGCGUUCUAGUUCGGAUAUGUACUGUAAUUUCCUUACUCGGGACCUUUGCGCAGAUUGCCGAUUAGCCAAGAUUCUGAUAUGUGAUCACACGAGAAUGAUAAUUAAUCAGAAUUUUCUACCAUUGCAUGUUAAAUUCUUGAUGCUGUAGGAGAAGAAUGUUAUUACAUGGUAAAAAUAUCUGGUCAAAUUUAGCAUAUCAAACAUGUCAUAAAAAGUUUUAUAGUAAUGAUUACCUCUUGAUCCUUUUUGGAUCAGAAAUCUUAUCAGUUGAAUUGUCUGUAGUUGCAUGUUGAGCAUUUUGCUCCUCAGAUUUGCAUGAGCUAUACACCUCAUCAGGUUCAUUUUUUGGCUGAUGCAGCUGUUGAUCAGGUGGACCUUGUUUAUCAUCAUUAAUGCUAUUAUGAUCAGACGGCGACGAAGGACUCGAAGAUGACAAAGUGGGCCCCA